GAAGGUCAUCGUCUCCUGCGGUUUUCGCCCCCCCCCUACCGUGGUUUCGCCCCUCUCCUGGUUUCGCUCCGGCUCCGCACACACACCUUGGACUCCUCGUUGCCGGAGCUGAGCACUCCCAUCAGCACGCCCAUCAGCGCCGCACUUCUCCUCGUAGCCGCCGCCGAGCACGCCCGCCGCCAGCCCUCUCCGCCGGAGACGUUCUCUGAGCACGCCCGCCGCCGCGCCCACCGUAACCCGACGCCCGCGCCCUCGCCCUCGCCCGACGCCCGAGCCCGACCUUGUCUGGAGAUUCGCCCUCGCCCUCGCCCCUGACGCCGUCGCCCUCGCCCUCGCCCUCGCCUGACGCCCGACCUGUGUUGCCAGGUCUGGAGAGUCGCCCUCGCCCGACGCCCGACGCCGAGCCCAACCUGCGUUGCCAGGUCUUGGAGUCACAUCCGCAUCACAUGCUCUCCUCCGUCCCCCCCCUCCCGCCGCCGACCCAGCCCCUGCAAGGCCUCUCCUCCCACGACGACUACAGCGACGACGGCGCGAUCCGGGGCACCUGUCUCCACUGCCUCCAUUGUCUGCGAUCCGUGAGAUCCCCGUGAUGGACCUCCUCCCACGCGCUGCAAGAGGAGAGCGGAGGAGUGCGCAGAUCCCAGCGGAGAUCUGAAUCCUGUGUCACUGCCAUCGCCUCAGCAGGUUGAGAACGCCGUGGCCAGUAUCACGAUGCCAUCUGCUACUAACAUCUCUCCCGUGGCCAGCAACCAAGCGGAAGAGUGCAGCCCUCUCGGCAGCAACGCGUGCUCCUUCCUGCUCAAGCUGAUGGUGAGGAGAACCAAAACUGAUGCCAAGGAGAACCAUAAUUCUGAGUUUGACACUUUAUUUUCUGGAAGCGGUGGCAAUGAUGGGAGUCACGGGAAUAUCAAGGUACUUGUUUCUCAAGCUACUCAGACCUAAGAUAAUUUGGUUCAUUUACUAAAUUAUUUAUUUUGAUAUACUCUAACUAAUAGCUGAAAUGUGCGCACUCAAGAAGCUUGGAGAUGAAAUGCUAAGAGGCAUUCUCAUACACUAUCAGCAUAUAUAUAAUCCUGUAUUUUCUGGCCAAACUUUUAUAUCUUAUUUAUCCUUCUUUGUAUACCUUCUAUACUAUCUCUCAAUGAACUAAUUAUUAAUUAUUGUAAAUUCUUUCUAACAAAAUUGUAUUUUUUUUUUGUUUGAGUUGGUUCAGUAUAUAUUUGUAACUCGCACAUGUCUUAGAAAGUCACCCUUUAGAGCGAGGAUGUCAAGCUGGUCGCUGUCAAUGACCCUUUCAUCCCCACAGAUUACAUGUCUCAACCCAUGGUGACAAGAGGAGCCUCUUUGUGACAGGGAGCACCUGCUCCACCACGCCCUCUCCUUCGAUGAGGCAGGGACCCCGUGCCUAGGGGGGUCAUGGCAGAGGUGCUGCUCCGGCUCAGGCCCCGCAGAGUCAUGGCCGCUACGGGGUUAGAUGCGACUGGCAGGACUGCGCCGCCCAAGUCUGAAGGGCAACCGAGGAGCUCCGCUGCCGCGCCCUCGCCUUCUCAGCACGCUGCUCCUGUGGGGAUGGGCGGCGAUGAGCCACUGUUGCUGCGGCAGUGAGGGUUUGCUUGUUGCAGAGGCCUUGGUGCUCGCUGAGGACAAUAAGUACCCAUCACCCAAGAGAUGAGCGGUGUGUUAGUGUGGAGAUGACGUCUUAUUGUGUAGAUGCUCGUUGAUGAGACGAGCGCCGCUUGAGCUGCCCAUCUUUGCAACGCUCUGCAUUGUGAAGUUCAAUAUCAGGCUGGCUAACUUCAAUUGAUUUGGGUUGGCUAACUUAAGUGGAGACGCUUGUCUUAUGGAGAAGAACAUUAGACAGAUUUUUUGCUUGAGGGUGAUAAAUUUCAUCGAGAAGAACAUUGGGAGGCACUGAUUUUUGCUACUGGGAGAAACUUAGAAUUAUUUUUAUGGGGCCCUAAGGGAUGAGAAUCCAUUACUCUAGGAUAUGUAUGUCAUUGUGAUGAAACAAUCUGAGUACAUAGAUAUGCCAAGACAGUUCCAUUCAAGUACUGUACUGUUGGUCUCUGGAUACAUACAACUAUGGAGGCUGGCCAUCGUGCUGCAGAUCAACCAAAUUCAACAUAGAUAAGGUGCAAGCUUCUCAAACUUUUUCAGAAUGAGAUGUAUGGGUUUCUAUUAGAUGCUCUUCUACUUUGUUGUCUGAGUUGCUGAAUAAAAUUUUCAAUGGAAUUUGCAACAUUUCUGUUACUGUUUUAAAAUUAAGUGAUGCUCCAUCUCUUCUGUUUGGUGUUUGUAGCUAAAGAAAGUGUGAAUCUCUUCUUUCAAAAGGUGGAUUUAUUCGCGCAUGAAAAAAUGAAUAUUGUAGAUUUUUUCGUGUCGAUUUUAAAACAUUAUCUUAUCCACAUUACAUAAAAGGUUCAUACAGUAGAGUUUGUAAGUCUGUGACGCCACGCUCUCUGUGACUAUGUUAAUUCUAUAAACUUUAUUUUAUAGAUAAAAUAUCACUUUAAUUUAGUAUUUAUUUUUUAUAAUAUUGUUAUCUUAUCGUGCGAUCUAUUUAGUAUAAACUAUUAGCUAUCCCGUAGCAAUGCACGGGCACGCUACCUAGUUAUAGUAAAAUUGUGCAAUUAGUUAUUUUUUUAUCUAUAUUUAAUACUUUAUGCAUACGUCCAAAGAUUCGAUGUGAUGAUGAAUAUUAUAAACUUUUGGAAUUUUAGUGCAUCUAAACAAGGCCUAAGCAUAUGAAAUCAACAAGAAUAAAAUAUUAAAUGGGAGAGAGAAAAAAAAAACACAAAUUCCCGUGCGUUCUUUUUUCCGCCGUCUGCUUCCCCUUCCGUCCGCUUCCCUCGUCCUCCUUCCCUCCUCCUGUCUCUCUCUCUCGCUACCCUCUCGCUCCCAGAGGACUGUUGGGCCACCGCCGCGCUAGGCCAGGUGCUGAGGCUUUCCUUGGUUUCUUCGCCGGCGACGAGCCGACGAGCACCCACCAGGUUGCUGUUGGCAUUGAUGUUAAUUCUUCUUAGAGCAGAGCACUGCAAUAAAAUUGACAGGCACAAUGUCAACCAUGCAUCUCUCCGUGGAUUGCAGUCGAGAAGAAAUGGUUUUAUGAUGUCAAGGAUGACGAUUCUCUUCAUGGAUUGCAAUAUGCUUUGUAUAUUGGAGGGGCAGGAUUUUACUGCAACUCCGAAGUCUAAACGGGCGCACCAGUAACCAGAAAUUAUAUCGAAGUAAAUUCAUAAAAGCAUGCCGACUGUUAUUUUUGUUGUAAAUCUUUUGCGUACAGCUGUAACAAGGCUUGAUUGUUCGUCCAGAAUUUCAGAUGUCCUCGAGUCUUACCUUUGUUAUCAUUGUGCCAUUUUUUUUUUGAAAGAAAGAAAGCACAGAUACAGUGUGCAUUUAAUUC
RNA transcript from Sorghum bicolor (sorghum), 3403 nucleotides. RefSeq lists it as uncharacterized. The transcript is spliced from 6 exons. Lineage: Eukaryota; Viridiplantae; Streptophyta; Magnoliopsida; Poales; Poaceae. The record is from RefSeq and is a predicted model, not a curated record.